Molecule: ribosomal RNA, 460 nt
Filed under: uncultured bacterium
Lineage: Bacteria
Description: partial 16S ribosomal RNA
Rfam family: Bacterial small subunit ribosomal RNA
Source: RNAcentral
CCUACGGGGUGCAGCAGUGAGGAAUAUUGGUCAAUGGGCGAGAGCCUGAACCAGCCAAGUCGCGUGAAGGAUGACGGCCCUACGGGUUGUAAACUUCUUUUGUCAGGGAGCAAUUGGGUCCACGCGUGGGCUUAGCGAGUGUACCUGAAGAAAAAGCAUCGGCUAACUCCGUGCAAGCAGCCGCGGUAAUACGGAGGAUGCGAGCGUUAUCCGGAUUUAUUUGGUUUGAAGGGUGCGAAGGCGGAAUAUCAAGUCAGCGGUAAAAAUUGGGGGCUCAACCCCGUCGUGCCGUGGAAACUGAUGUUCUUGAGUGGGCGAGAGGUAUGCGGAAUGCGUGGUGUAGCGGUGAAAUGCGUAGAUAUCACGCAGAACUCCGAUUGCGAAGGCAGCAUACCGGCGCCCAACUGACGCUGAAGCACGAAAGCGUGGGUAUCGAACAGGAUUAGAUACCCUAGUAGUC